CAGAGGUGAUCUAGCUACAAGGAGGAAGCAGGGUAGACUAGAACUGCAAAUUGCUGAUAGCCAAGUGGUUGCUAUUUGCCUGAGAUACAGAACACAACUGUCACAUUUCGAAAGGAUGUUGAAUCCUCAUCCCAGAUUGUAAAGAAACUGAACUUGGAGUAGUUGGUGAAGCAGUCAGAAGCAGAAACGAAUCAGCUUUGUCUCUGGAAAACACUUGGUUUCAUUUGCAACUGUUAGUUAUUUGUGACCUUCCAGCGGCUAUCCUCGGCCAUAGCGAGUGACCUCCCUAAUCCCACACUGAACGGGCAAGCGGCGCGAUGGGGGAAGGUGCCUAACUGCGUCCUUAAGGACUUGAGGACAACAAAAUGUAGGCAAUAUUUAUACUUUCAUCUUUGAAAAUAAAGUCAUAUCUGAGCAAAAGCUGCUUUAUGUUAUGCUCAAAGCUAUGAAGACGACAUACAAG
This is a long non-coding RNA of Grus americana (Whooping crane), 463 nucleotides long. RefSeq lists it as uncharacterized. The transcript is spliced from 3 exons. The record is from RefSeq and is a predicted model, not a curated record. Lineage: Eukaryota; Metazoa; Chordata; Aves; Gruiformes; Gruidae.